UUGGGUGAGGGUCUGCCUAGAGC
This 23-nucleotide microRNA is filed under the name Macaca mulatta (Rhesus monkey). Its description in RNAcentral is "Mml-Novel-8_3p (mature (co-guide))". The record is from RNAcentral. Lineage: Eukaryota; Metazoa; Chordata; Mammalia; Primates; Cercopithecidae.